This is a long non-coding RNA of Pieris brassicae (large cabbage white), 821 nucleotides long. RefSeq lists it as uncharacterized. The record is from RefSeq and is a predicted model, not a curated record. The transcript has 3 exons. NCBI's taxonomy places the organism in Eukaryota, Metazoa, Arthropoda, Insecta, Lepidoptera, Pieridae.
UCUAAUGUGUUUUGUUUUUUACACAUCAACAUCAAUAUAAGAAAACAGUAACGCUUCAAGGGUGACAAAGCUAACAGAAUAUUAAGCUCGUGAUAAAGCUCGCCAAGAAAAUAGGAACACUACUCAUACUGCCCUAUUGAAGCAAUACUUUAGGGAAAUCAGUGUCGGCGUUGGAAAAAUUAGGAAGAGUGGCCUGAAGCUGUAUUUCCUUGGAGCUUUCAGACGUGCUAUUAAGUUCUUUAUUUUGUCCAUUUAUAAAUUUGAAAAAGAAGGAUCGGGAUCGUCGAAGAAGGAAACAAAUGACGGUUUCAUUCUAUAAUAAUUAAAAUGCUAUUGAGGAAAUUUCUCGAUUCGUAUGAGUUUAUAAGUCUUUCGCUAACAGACUUUUACUUUAAGAAGCAAUAAACAGGAUCAAAUAUAUUUUCGGUAUUAAGUUCAUUCACUGCCAGUUCUCAAAUCAAGGGUGUACAACGGAAGAGAAGAACUAGCAAUAAACUCUCCGCCAUUAUUUUUAAUCCCCAAGUUGUUGUUUUACAUAACGUUCGUAAGGAGCUGCAACUAUUACACCAUGUUCCAUGUGACAUCUUAAGUAAUUAAUAAUAAUAAAAUAAAUUAAAACAAACAUUUGUCUAAACUGGGGUUAAUUAUUAUAUUUUCUUCAUCAAUUGUUUUCUAAUUUAAAUUAUCAAGAAGAUUAAUAUUAGGUUAACCUAAUAUACUGUGAAUAAAAUAUUCCUCAAUACGGCCCCAAUAACCUGAUUAAAAAUACAUGAAGUGUUUUGCCAAUAAUGCAGUUCUAGAUUGCAGUGGCCAUGCAAUUA